GGGAGAAGAGAAGAAGGGGGAGGGGGUAGACAACUGAUGGUUUGUGUUUUUUGAUUUUUUAAUAAUUAAUUAUUAAAUGAUUUUUAUUUUAAGUUUUUAAUAAUUUUUUAAUAAAAAGUGUGCCCCGUCUCAUGUCACGUCAGCAUUUAAUUGAGGAACUAACAGUCAACUGACGGAAUGUAUGACAUUGCAACAAGUUCGAAGAUAAGGUUGUAAACUUUGAUGACUAUAACCGAAGAACCUGUUACCAAAUGGUGACAUUCAAGGAACGUCAAUGCUACAUGAAAGGGUUUCCGAGUGUCGGGUUGAAAGCACAUGAAGGAAGGGGAAACCGAAGGGAGAUUUUUCAUUUUUGUUUUCUGAUCUUUUAUUAGCAAGCCUUUUGUUUGCAGUUCAUGUCUGUAAAAUUUUAUGAAUUGGAAUUGUCAAGCCUCUGCUGUUCAUAUCAACAUUUUUUUGUUAUUCAACAUCACCUUAAUAGCUAGAUUCCUAUAAUAUACAAA
Molecule: long non-coding RNA, 503 nt
Organism: Pyrus x bretschneideri (Chinese white pear)
Lineage: Eukaryota; Viridiplantae; Streptophyta; Magnoliopsida; Rosales; Rosaceae
Exons: 2
Source: RefSeq, a predicted model, not a curated record